GCUGGGAUAGCUCAGAUGGUAGAGCAUGAGACUCUUAAUCUCUGGGUCGUGAGUUCAAGCCCCACAUUGGGCA
RNAcentral lists this transfer RNA (73 nucleotides) under Podarcis lilfordi (Lilford's wall lizard). It matches the Rfam family "tRNA". Rfam says of the family: Transfer RNA (tRNA) molecules are approximately 80 nucleotides in length. The record is from Rfam by way of RNAcentral. Lineage: Eukaryota; Metazoa; Chordata; Lepidosauria; Squamata; Lacertidae.